This 3277-nucleotide long non-coding RNA is filed under the name Sus scrofa (pig). Its description in RNAcentral is "lncRNA (ENSSSCG00025041849.1)". The record is from RNAcentral. Lineage: Eukaryota; Metazoa; Chordata; Mammalia; Artiodactyla; Suidae.
UUUUUCUUUUUUCCUUUCUAGGGCCACAUCUGCAGUUAUAUGGAAGUUCCCAGGCCAGGGCUCGAAUCAGAGCUGUAGCUGCCAGCCUACACCACAGCCACAGGAACCCAGGAUCUGAGCAUCUGUGACCUACACCACAGCUCACAGCAAUGCCGGAUCCUUAGCCCAGUGAAGGAGGCCAGGGAUCAAACCCACAUCCUCACAGACACUGGGUCAGAUACUUAAUCUACUGCGCCACAGUGGGAACUCCCGACACAAUCAUUUUUCCAUAGUUAUUUGUCAGUGAAUGAAUGAAUGAUCACAUUAGCAGGAGAAGAACAUUCACUGAGCUGUCAAUGCCCGAGGACCCCAAGCUGCAAUGUAGCACAGUUUUUCUUUUUCGCUUUUUGCUUUGUAGGGCCGCACCUGCGGCAUGUGGAGUCGGUUCAUAAAGCCAGGACAGCGAGCCUGGUUCUCUGGAUGUUUCAGAGGUUGAUCUGGACUGGGAGGUGGGAUGGAGGUGGAUGACAGAAGAACGGAUGGAAGUACAAAGAGUGUGACCAUCCCACAAAGCAUAUGCAUCUAUGAAACCGAUUAACUCAUUCAAAAUAGAUCUGGGCAUGGAUGCACCGAGAGAUUCUCAUACUAAGGCAAAGAAGUCAGCAAGAGAAAGGCAGGUACCAUAUGAGAGCACUUACAUGUGGAAUCUGAAAGAGGGCACAAAGGCACCUACCUACAGAACAGAAACAAACUCACAGACAUGGAGAACAGAGGCUGCCAAGGGGGUCGGGAGAGGGAGUGGGAUGGACGGGGAGUUUGAGGUUCGUACAUGCAAACUAUUGCAUUUAGAAUGGAUAAGCAGUGGGGUCUUACUGUACAGCACAGGGAACUAUGUCCAAUCUCUUGGGUUAGAACAUGAUGGAAGAUACUAUUAAAAAAAAAAGAAUAUAUAUUGACUGGGUCCCUGCUAUACAGCAGAAAUUGAAGGAAUAUUGUAAAUCAACCAUAAUUUAAUAAAAAAAAUUUAAAAAUAGGUCUGUGUGUCUCAUUUUGGGGUUGUUAGGGGCACAGAAGUAAGCGAGACAGAUACACACCAGGCUUUCACAGCUCCUCCAGCCCAAUGCAGGAUCCAGAUAACACACAAGCAAUAAACAGGCUAACUGGAGUCAUGACAAGUACGUGGCAGAUGUAUUCUAAGUGAAAUGACAGAGAAUAACAAGGCAGGCAGUGGUUUGCAACUUCAGGCUUCUCCCUUCUCUCUCCAGGGUCCUCAAAUCCUAGUAUUUCUCGUACACAAAACUUCCUCAAAACUUUCAUUCUUUCUUACCUUUCUCUGUUCGAACAAUAAAGGCAGCAGAAGGAAAUGCUUCUCUUCCUCUAUUUCUCUGCCUACAUUCUCCUCUCUCACCUCCCACUUUCACAUACGCAUUAAAUCAAAAUAAUCCCCGGAAUUCCUACUCCCAAUCUAGCAGAGGGGGGCUAGGGAGAGAAGGAAGCAUAUAUCCGAGCUCUGCUAUGCAGCAGCUUAGGCAAGACAAGAGAUACACAUGUAGAAUGUGGGAACAAGGGUGUCUGGAGGGUUGGUGAAGGGACACAGCAAAUGGACAGGUCAGGGAGCAUCCUUUUGUGUGCCCUCUGGACCAUAAGGUACCAAAUCAAGUGACAUGCACCCCACCCUUGGCCUGGCCAGCGAUUAAAUGAAUGCUUUUAUGCUGUUGCCACUCUUGCUCCGCAUCCCUCUGGAAUCCCAAAAGAUGCCUGACCUCUCCCAUUUACAGUCAAGCUGCUGACUUCUUUAACUCAAGAGAAUUCCACCUCCCUAGGCGAUCAUCACUACUCUUUGUCUUUCUAAUCACCUUUGCACGGUUCUACCCUUGUUUGCUCUAAAAAUAUUAGCUCAGGGGUCAACCUUCUACACUGAAAAGAGAGUCGGGAGUCUCUGUAUCCUACAAAGGGGGAUCAAGGAACUCAAGUACACAGGGAAAACGGCCUUCGUGAGGAAGAUCUUAUUUGGUGAAGACGCAGGGACCAGGCCUGUGGCCCGAGGUAGAUGCCAGGUCACCUGUUUUCCCCAUAACCAAGGGACCUCCCAGAACUCCAUCUCUGAUCUAGACACAAGUUGAGAUGUCUCUAUACUAAGAUCACAGGAAGGGUGCCCCUGCUGGUGAGGUUGAGGAUAGACAGGGCUCGGAAUUGGGAAACAAACACACAGAGAAGUCGAGAAAUCAACUUGCUUCCUUGGAAUAGAAGGUAGGUAGGGAUGCCCGAAAACAAGGCAAAGUGUCAGGUAGGAACUAGCUUAUUCAACAAGGAGCUAAGUGAUAUUCACGCUUCAGGAAUGUUAGUCUCCAAUAUACAGGAGGGAAGCCAGGGGAAGGUGGCUUUAGGUGUGAGGACCUCUAAGGAAGAGUUCACGGCCAUGUGAAGGUGUCUGCGGAGUGGGAUGCCAACAGCGGGGAUGGGAGUCGGGCUUUAAGAAAGCCCUGGUCCAAAACGCCCCCCUCUCUCAGUGGUGGAUGAAGAAUAAGACAACGUCAGUGAUGAUGGGCACUUGAGACUGGGGUCCCCGGGAAGAGCAUGGUGUCCUUGGGUGAGUGAGUGGGGUUUGGUCCAAUUUGAGUGUUAGACAUUUUGGAGUCAGGAGUGCCAGUGAAGAGAUACAGCGAUCUGUGCUGGAUUUGGCACGGGCACUCAGUGAGAUGUGGAGCAGUUGUUCCAGGCUUUGCAGUUGACAAAGCAGAGGUAGAAGCUUUGAAGAAAAAUACCGAGUGGUAAGUCAAGGACAAAAACCAGCCACCAGGGUGGCCCAGACUCGUCUCCAGUCUGCUGUCCUUUCUGUUUUCCCCACUUACACCAGAGUCCAUCAGAAGGUGAGGGGCAAUCAGUUAUCUGUCCCCCCCCCCAUCUCUCCAUGCGUUCACCCAUCACUACAUUCAAUGCGUACCGAUUGUCUCUUAUGGCCGUUACUACCAUAGAUGCUGUGGAUACAAUCAGAGCUAAUGUAUUAUUUAACAGUCGGCAGAAAUCAGGCUCCAACCAAUCAGAAUAGACACAUGGGGGGGUAGUGGAGGAUGGUGCUGAGGGACCAUUAACCCUUCAGUUCUGGGUCAGGAUCCAUGUGGGGGGAUAAAGCAUAUGGAAUUGGAGGGGGUGAAAGAUGCUUAGGGGUUUGGGACAGCAGGAUUUUACCCACCCAUAUCCAUCCCAGUCUAUGCCAGCUGAUGUAUCAGCCUGCACUGAAGGACGGACAAUUCAGACCUGGCCCCUGUACUCAAAGGACCUCUAGUCCAGAAAUGCC